RNAcentral lists this ribosomal RNA (368 nucleotides) under uncultured organism. RNAcentral's name for it is "bacterial SSU rRNA". It matches the Rfam family "Bacterial small subunit ribosomal RNA", at positions 526 to 896 of the family's 1533-position model. The record is from RNAcentral.
CGGAGGGUGCAAGCGUUAUCCGGAUUCACUGGGUUUAAAGGGUGCGUAGGUGGUUUUGUAAGUCAGUGGUGAAAGCCCGGAGCUCAACUCCGGAACUGCCAUUGAUACUGCUUAACUUGAAUCAAGUAGAGGUGGAUGGAAUAAUACAUGUAGCGGUGAAAUGCUUAGAUAUGUAUUAGAACACCGAUUGCGAAGGCAGUUCACUAUGCUUGUAUUGACACUGAGGCACGAAAGCGUGGGGAUCAAACAGGAUUAGAUACCCUGGUAGUCCACGCCCUAAACUAUGUAUACUCGACAUAUGCGAUACACUGUAUGUGUCCAAGCGAAAGCGUUAAGUAUACCACCUGGGAAGUACGACCGCAAGGCUA